RNAcentral lists this ribosomal RNA (448 nucleotides) under Streptomyces sp. Its description in RNAcentral is "bacterial SSU rRNA". It matches the Rfam family "Bacterial small subunit ribosomal RNA", at positions 56 to 520 of the family's 1533-position model. Lineage: Bacteria; Bacillati; Actinomycetota; Actinomycetes; Kitasatosporales; Streptomycetaceae. The record is from RNAcentral.
UGCAGUCGAACGAUGAACCUCCUUCGGGAGGGGAUUAGUGGCGAACGGGUGAGUAACACGUGGGCAAUCUGCCCUGCACUCUGGGACAAGCCCUGGAAACGGGGUCUAAUACCGGAUACUGACCCGCUUGGGCAUCCGAGCGGUUCGAAAGCUCCGGCGGUGCAGGAUGAGCCCGCGGCCUAUCAGCUUGUUGGUGAGGUAAUGGCUCACCAAGGCGACGACGGGUAGCCGGCCUGAGAGGGCGACCGGCCACACUGGGACUGAGACACGGCCCAGACUCCUACGGGAGGCAGCAGUGGGGAAUAUUGCACAAUGGGCGAAAGCCUGAUGCAGCGACGCCGCGUGAGGGAUGACGGCCUUCGGGUUGUAAACCUCUUUCAGCAGGGAAGAAGCGAAAGUGACGGUACCUGCAGAAGAAGCGCCGGCUAACUACGUGCCAGAGCCCCGG